CAGCCGCCACGGUAAUACGAAGGGUGCAAGCGUUACUCGGAAUUACUGGGCGUAAAGCGUGCGUAGGUGGUUGUUUAAGUCUGCUGUGAAAGCCCUGGGCUCAACCUGGGAAUUGCAGUGGACACUGGGCAACUAGAGUAAGGUAGAGGAUAGUGGAAUUUCCGGUGUAGCAGUGAAAUGCGUAGAGAUCGGAAGGAACAUCUGUGGCGAAGGCGACUAUCUGGGCCAUUACUGACACUGAGGCACGAAAGCGUGGGGAGCAAACAGGAUUAGAUCCCCCGUAGUCCCUGUCUCUUAUACC
RNAcentral lists this ribosomal RNA (301 nucleotides) under uncultured bacterium. RNAcentral's name for it is "partial 16S ribosomal RNA". It matches the Rfam family "Bacterial small subunit ribosomal RNA", at positions 509 to 808 of the family's 1533-position model. The record is from RNAcentral.